AGCCUCUUUACGGUGCUGCCUUGUGGAAUCUGGAUCAAGCAGCAUUGUACAGGGCUAUGA
Astyanax mexicanus (Mexican tetra) is the source of this 60-nucleotide microRNA precursor. Ensembl annotates it as microRNA 103a-1. Its record names the gene dre-mir-103. The record is from Ensembl. NCBI's taxonomy places the organism in Eukaryota, Metazoa, Chordata, Actinopteri, Characiformes, Acestrorhamphidae.